RNAcentral lists this ribosomal RNA (227 nucleotides) under uncultured bacterium. RNAcentral's name for it is "partial 16S ribosomal RNA". It matches the Rfam family "Bacterial small subunit ribosomal RNA", at positions 107 to 334 of the family's 1533-position model. The record is from RNAcentral.
UGAGUAACACGUAUCCAACCUGCCGUCUACUCUUGGACAGCCUUCUGAAAGGAAGAUUAAUACAAGAUGGCAUCAUGAGUCCGCAUGUUCACAUGAUUAAAGGUAUUCCGGUAGACGAUGGGGAUGCGUUCCAUUAGAUAGUAGGCGGGGUAACGGCCCACCUAGUCUUCGAUGGAUAGGGGUUCUGAGAGGAAGGUCCCCCACAUUGGAACUGAGACACGGUCCAC